GAUGAACGCUGGCGGCGUGCCUAAUACAUGCAAGUCGAGCGAACGGACGAUAAUUUUGCUUCUCGCUUGUUAGCGGCGCGCGGGUGAAUAACACGUGUAUAACGUACCUAUAUGUCUGGUAUAAUUUCGGAAAACGGGAUCUUACACCGUAGGAUAUUUUGAACCGCAUUGUGCAAAAGUAAAAGUCGGUCUUUCUGGAUCUAAUAGAGGCAUCUCCGCUUCAUUGUCUAGUUGGUAAGUUAACGGCUUAUCAAGGCAACGAGGCAUAGACGACAUGAGAGGGGGAUAGGCCGCCCUGGAACGGAGCCACGGUCAAGACUCCUACGGGAGGGAGCAGAAGGGAAUCUUCCGCAAAGGGCGAAAGCAUGACGGAGCAACGCGGAGUGAGUGAUGAAGGCCUUCGGAUCGUAAAACCCUGUUAUUAGGGAAGAACAUCUGUGUAAGUAAAUGUGCAGUUCUUGACGGUAAUUAAUCAAAAAGCAACGGCUAACUACGUG
RNAcentral lists this ribosomal RNA (497 nucleotides) under uncultured bacterium. RNAcentral describes it as "partial 16S ribosomal RNA". It matches the Rfam family "Bacterial small subunit ribosomal RNA", at positions 28 to 507 of the family's 1533-position model. The record is from RNAcentral.